CAGGAUCUAAGCCACAUCUAUGACCUACACCACAGCUUAAGGCACCUUGACCCACUGAGUGAGGCCCGGGAUCAAACCCGCAUCUUCAUGGAUACUCGUCAGGUUCAUUUCUGCUGCACCACAAGAGGAAAUCUGGAACCAUAUAUUUUCUACUUGGUCACUAAUAUGUCAAAUUAGUCUUCUAAUUUGACAACCAACUUCUAUUUACUCUGAUUCUGAACUGCUUUUCUGCUUCCACACAGGUAAAUUACACAAGUCCUUCCAUAUCCAUGAACCACUGGUCAUGUGUUACAUUCUGUCUAGACUUCCUAUAUUUGAGACAGAGCUAGCCUUCUCUACUUUGUGCCUUUAUAGCUCUUGAUAUACCAUUUCUACCUCUGCAGUCUUCACCCUUCUUUAAAGCCAUACACACCUCCACUGAUAAAAGUUCCUGAAAGGGGCCACAGUCCCUAUUAGUUCUCUAAAGAUCUGUUAUUAUUGCUAGAACAUAAAAUUAUUUUUUUAGGGAUAAAGAAUGAAUAAUGAAUCACAAAUGUUGUUUACCACAAUCUAAACUUUAAUAAGAAGGAAUCCUUCAUUAAAAUUUUGCUGUAAAUUUAGAUUGUGCCUUAUUGUGAUACCAUGAAAUUCAGCUUUAAUUUUUAAAAGCAUUUAUGUACUUCUCUACACCUUAUGUUGGCACGGAUAAUCCAGCUACUAGUCCAGGUAGUUGGAUUCUAUAGAAACAUUCAAAUGCAUAUAUCUAUCAUAGCUUCGCAGUUUCCUUAGGUCAUAGUUUCGAGUAAGCAACGGCUUUGUGAAACUUUCGACUUAGCUUAGGAUCUGGCUGAAGAUAAAAGAGUUUCCAUCUUUCACUCUCUAGCCACUAGGUAUGGUUGAAAGGCAGUUGCAGCUGCAGUAACACAAGGCAUCUUCCUUAGCUCUGCACAACUCAAGAGCAGACACCCUCCAAACUUUGCCCCAACAUACAUUGCAUUAAUCAGCUUAGUCUGACAUAACAAUACCAAAAAAUAGACUGGGCGGCUUAAACAACAGAAAUGUAUCUUCUUACAGUUCUGGAGACUGGAAGUCCAAGGUCAAGGUGCCAGCAGGGUCACUCCAGCAGCUCCUCCUCUUCUUAUAAGGGCACCAGCCCUACUGAAUUAGAGCCUCACCCUUACGACCUUAUUUAACCUCAGUUAUCUCCUAAAGAUCCUAUCUCUAAAUACAGUCACACUGGGGGUCUUUGAGUUGGAGGAUGGAGUUUGGGGCUUCAACAUAUACAUUUUGGGGACACAAUUCAGUCUAUAACAUACACACAUGUACUGAUUUUCUCCUACAUUUAUUUUCCUGAUGUGUCCAAUUAAGUUCUUGAUUUAAUUGGUCGAACACAAAGAACUUAACAGGACACACAUUUAAGUUUCACAAGAUACAUUUACCUUUGGGGCUCAGGGUCUGGCAUUCCCUUCACAUACAAUCUACCAUCCCCAACACAAGAUGCAUCCUUGCAUAUAAUAUGACUCAGGCUGAUAAUUUGAAAAGAAAAGAAACGAAGGAACCAUCACAAAUGCAGCUCACAAAAUUUUAGCAUUUGAAACUGCCAAAACUAGAGGAACUUGGCGAAGACAAAGACUUCCUUUAUAAUCUCUUAACAUUAGAACUCAAAGUGUGCUUCGAUUAGAUUCUAUGAUAUCUGGCACGCUAUCCGGUUAAUAGCAAGUUGAAAUGUUCCGGGCUGCUGAGUGGGUCAAAGGUUUCUGGGAAUUCAAGUGGUCUCUAAAUAAACAUAGCAGUAAAGUUUGUAAUAUAGUAGGGAGUUAGAAGGAAAAAUUUAAAUAGCAGUUUUGUCUAGGUCUACUUUUUUCCAUCUGUUCCUUUUAAAUAACAAUACUAGGCUUCAUAUUAUUACACCAAUUUUAUCUGGGUGAGUGAGGCAUCUGCUACAGCUGUCCUUUUAGUUUUGUGUUAUUAGGUAGGCAAAUAUUUCAUUAGUGCAAGGUAAGCUUUACACUGUAGUGCCAUUGCCUAUCUAUUGCUCUGAAAAAAAAAUCAAUAUGUAUUUUAAAUUACACAUAUAAUUGUUUUGUGUUUUGGUGCCUAAUUCCUCUCCUUGAAUGCAUGAAAAGAAUUAAAAUGUUCAAAUUGUUUCCUUUAAUUCCUUUCAUGCACUUUUGUGGGAGGAAUUAACCUCCACACUCUAAAAUGAUUGUAAGUGUAAUAUUAAAAAUGGAACAUCUCAUUUCCUUUUUAUUUCUGUUGUGGGGAUUGUAAACACCAGAGGUAUCUAAUGAAGACCUUACUUUUACAACAUCACAAAAUGAAAAAGGCACAUUGGAAAUACAACUAGAAGCUCGUCUUUCAGAUUAGUCCCUAGACCUACUGCAAUGCAUUGAUUUUUUUCCCCUUUUCUUGCUGCCUUUUUCUUACUUCAAACUUCUAGUGAAUUUAAUGUGACAAGGUGUCAACCAAGCAGCUGUAUAGAGGCCAGCAUCGAGCUACAACCUGAACUUUAUGAGGGUCCUUCAUUUUCUGGUUUUAAGCCUGGGGGUAAGAAUUAUGUGGUCUAAAGUCACUGAAUUCUGUCUACAAUGCAAGUCCACAAUAAAUGGUCUGAUCACUGCUUUCAUUAGUGGUGAUUCUCCAUCUUUUUAAGACCCUUCUCCUGUAGACUCACUGGCCAUUCAUUCUUUUCUUUUGGAGAGAAUAGGGGGUAGAAGUUUCUCAGUCUCAACAGGCCCAGUUGGUGCUUAUCAGAUUUAGACACUUUCAAAUGAAGUCUGAUGUACUUAUUCCACCUUAUAGGCAGUAAUUGUUUAAAGUUUAAAACUGUUUCCUAAAAAGUAUGUAUUGUAUUCCUAAAAAGUAUUGUUGACAUUAACUACCCAAUAUACAAUUCUAAGCACAUGGAUAAUCUUCCCAAUAGUUAUUUUGAUAGUAAUACACAGUUAAUACAUAGUUUGAUUAAUAAUAAAUCCAAGUAACAAAGCGAAGCAGAGUGAUUGCCUCCCUUUUAAGUUUUCAGCUUUAGUCUAUUGCAGAUUGAACUCUCAAUGAAUAUUCAUUCAACAAACGUGCUUUAAUAAUUAUGAAAUCGAGUGCUUCUAAUGAAUUUAUAUGCCAUGCAUGUUAAAUCUUAAAUCAUAUUUUUACUAAUCGACAUUUUAAAAAUGCAAAACAAACAGCAAACGUCACAUCUAGAAAACAAAGAAAACAUUCCUGCUUAACUUGCAAUCUUUCACACAGAAGACCAGUGUCCCUUCCAUGACAGGGCCUGAAGCAUUUUAGAUUUCAACAUGAUUUAGACAGAAACUCAGGCUUUAAAGAAUCCAUCUUGCAGUCCUCUGACAAAGUAAUUGGCUGGAAAAAUUAUAAUAAAAUUUUCAUAAAGUUCAUAUUCAUGAAGUGACAAAAAUUGCUUUUAGGAAAUUACGAUAUUAAUAAUUUACACUCAUGUCAAUAGCAUUUCUAAAAUAACUCAAGCUCUCUACCUUGAAAAUUAUGAAUCUACUUUGAUUUUUCUCCCACAUAAAGACAGUUAAAUACACCGAGACACACUGAGAUCUAGAUACAGAUUAUUCAUUUAAGAAGAUAGCUCCUUGUUUAAUUAGAGAUUUAUCAUUUUAACUAGCUGUACUAUUGCUCUGAAUUAGUUUUCCAGGGUUUGCAGAAUUAAAGAUGGUAAAAAUUGAUGAACCUUAGCUGAAUUUCCCCCCGAAGGGUACAAACUUUUAUUACAUUUCGGAUGCAAAACACAAUUAGCCUCUAACCUAACCAUGUUAAUCUCCUUGAGUUAAGCUUAUGUGUUUCUGCUUGUCUAGAAACUUUUAAUGAAAGAUCUAUGUCUUUUACAGCCUAUUUUAAUAACCUCUUUAUUUGCAUCUCUGCCCUUGUUUAGAGGAGGAGUUAAUACGAUAAGCUCCUGGAUUACAGAACGCUCUUUUAAAACUGAGGAUAAAUAAAAUUCUGCAACAUUCAAUUGGAGUAGCACUCAGCAGGAGAUGGACAUCAACAAUAAACAUUAUUCAAGUUCCAAAAGUUUCCAUGUAAUUAACUAAGAUGGAUACAUUAGUGUCAUCCAUUAUGUUCCAUUCUGUAAACUCCAGACUCCUGGCCAUUAAGCAGGGCCAUUUUGACAAGACUGAAUUUGAAAAAUUGAUUUACUUUAUGGAUAAAUAGUCCUUUAAAGGUGAUUUUUUUUUUCCUCCCAGCAGCAAAACUGCUGAAACUUAUCCUAACAUUUUCUAUAGCAUAUUCCCAAAUGCUCACUGACUCCCAAACUACAUUUUCUGCUGAGCAAAGGUUUUGGUUGGGUAAAUAUACCCUGUCACAAAAUGGGAAAUAAAUGGUCACUUGUGGAUUUCCUCACUCUGGGCUAGAAUUUAUGACAAAGUUACUUCCUUACCGCCAAUGAAAUGUUUGAAAACUAUUGUGGGCACUCUAGUUUUAUUUUGUAGGAAAGAUUUAUGUUAGGUAAAGAAGAAUAAGGAAAGAAAAGGAAAAAUCAGCAUCCUCCAUGUCCACAAUGAACUAUAAUGGUAAAAGUUGUUUUCUGUGGUCCAGAAUUUUAUAAAAUAUAGGAAUACAGUAACUUGAUUAACCUCUUUUUAUGCUGAUGGUUUAGCACAAUGUCAUUUUUUUUUUCAUGACCAGCAGUGUACAAUUAUUUCCUCAAAAUGUAAUCAAGACAUUGUAUCCUGAAAUUACAUUUAAAAAUGGAUUUGGGAGGUUAUUUAAUGGGAGUUUUUCCAUAAAUACCACACAUAGAAUUCUGAAACCUAGAAUCAUCAUAAUAUCUUCUGACAAACAGCAUCAUUUCUUUUCAGUCACUUACCACUGAGAUG
RNAcentral lists this long non-coding RNA (4820 nucleotides) under Sus scrofa (pig). RNAcentral describes it as "lncRNA (ENSSSCG00055009302.1)". The record is from RNAcentral. Lineage: Eukaryota; Metazoa; Chordata; Mammalia; Artiodactyla; Suidae.